UCGGUAUUACACAGUACUACUACUUCAGAAGAACCUGGAAGCACAAGUUCAUAUAGAAAUCAAACAUUUCUUCUGAAUCACUUCAUCCAAAUAACUCCCUAACACCGAACCUUCGAGAAGAUGGUGCUGAUAGAGCAGGAGAAGACUGACGAUCCAAACGUGAAUCCACCAAACGCUACUGCCGGCAACGACGCCUCCGACGGCUUCGAAACCGCCAGUGAGGCCGAUCUCGAUAGCGACGGUGACGAUGACAGAGCAAGCAGCCGAGAAGAAUUGCAGCACAGUGAUCAACUGCAGAAGCCGCCGACGCGGACAGAGGGAGAACAGGAACAAGAUGUUCCUCAGCAAAGCAUUUCCUCCGAGGAGGCUUUAAUCAAUGAAGAUGAAUUGAGACAGAAAGCAUUGGAUGAAGCAAAUGAAGCAAAAGUAGAAGGUAACAAACUCUUUGUAGAUGGGAAGUAUGAGGAGGCAUUAUCUCAAUAUGAUCAUGCCUUACAAGUUGCACUAGACAUUCCUUCAUUUGUGGAAAUACGCUCAAUAUGCUAUGCAAACCGUGCUGUGUGCUUUUUAAAACAGGGAAAAUAUGAAAAUACAAUUAAAGAAUGCACAAAAGCAUUGGAGCUGAAUCCUGCAUAUGUUAAAGCUUUGGUAAGAAGAGGAGAAGCUCAUGAAAAGCUUGAACAUUUUGAAGAGGCAAUUGCUGAUAUGAAAAAGAUCUUAGAAAUCGAUCCCUCAAAUGAUCAAGCUAGGAAAGCCAUCCGUCGACUAGAGCCCCUUGCUGCAGUCAAACGGGAAAAAAUGAAAGAAGAAAUGAUAGCAAAAUUGAAAGAAAUGGGCAAUUCUGUCUUGGGACGUUUUGGGAUGAGCGUUGACAACUUCAAAGCAGUCAAAGAUCCAAACACUGGUUCUUAUUCUAUCUCAAUGGAACGCUAGAUUUCGUCGAGCAGGGUCAUAAUAGCAGUAAGCAAGAAAGAGACUGUUUAAAAUGAUAAUGGUUUGAGACUUUUGUUGGCAUUAAGUCAUUAGAGAAUACAAAGGUUCUUGGAAUUCUGAGUAAAUAAAGUAGAAAGGAGUUGAACAUUGUUUGAUCGAUGUCAGAGUGUAUUAGUCAUGUGGAUAUUUGCUAUGGAAGCUGAUUUUGGAAUUUGUCAAAGUUUCGUUUUAGAUAGUACUUGCACAUGCAAUUUUUAUGUAUGCCACUUCUAAUACAGUAGUGUAAUCCAUCUGUUGCUGAUAAUGGCUGGUUAUUGUAAUGUUUUCAUGUUAUGAAGCUAUUUACAAUUUGUGGUUAUCAUUGUUUGGGGAGAAUAGGGUAGAAGUCAAAUGGUUUAGAAGGAGGUUAAAUAGACUAUUCCCAAAAAUUAAUUUUCCAAAAUGUUUCUUUUUUGAAAUCAGAGUUUGAUAAAACAUUCGACGCAACAGAAAAUUGACAUUAUUGGAAAGAUCUUAUAACAAUAGAGUUCGAACACACUGAAAUUACUAAUCAAUCAAGUAGCAAUUAAGCUAUCGCUGAACGUAUACGAAAAGUAUAACUCAAAUUUAUUUAAAUGAUAAAGAUUCUGCCACAGUUUUUUAGAGUUAAUCGUCAAGAAAAUCUUUUAAGAACUUAGUCUGACACAUGU
Vicia villosa (hairy vetch) is the source of this 1622-nucleotide RNA transcript. RefSeq lists it as uncharacterized. The transcript is spliced from 6 exons. Lineage: Eukaryota; Viridiplantae; Streptophyta; Magnoliopsida; Fabales; Fabaceae. The record is from RefSeq and is a predicted model, not a curated record.